This 1419-nucleotide long non-coding RNA is filed under the name Felis catus (domestic cat). RNAcentral describes it as "lncRNA (ENSFCAG00000045558.2)". Lineage: Eukaryota; Metazoa; Chordata; Mammalia; Carnivora; Felidae. The record is from RNAcentral.
AUGAGAAAAACUGAGGUCAGAAAAACUGAUAGACCAUUUUAGAGGUGCAAGUAUCCUGAUGUUCAGGGGUUGUUUUGAAAGGCAGAAUGUCCAACAAGAGUCCAGUACCUCUUGAAACACUGUUCAGAAGUUGCAACAGAGUUACGAAUAAUAGUGAGUUCAAAUUUGCUUUACUACAAUAUUUGAAAAGCAGAGAUGAUCGUUUUCAAGCUAAUAAUAUAUUACUAUUACAUAGCAUUCCCUUACCAUUUCAUUUCCCUGUUCCUGUCUAUGGGAAUAUUCACGGAGCCUUCAUUAUGUAGGAACACUGAGCAUAGGCCAGGCAUUCCAGAUGGCAUAGCUACAAGCUGCAGAGAGCCACCCGAUCCACACCAGACUGCAAUGUGAGUGAGGAAAAAAAAAUUUUAUUGUGAAAAGCCAUUGAUAUUUGAGAUAUUUUAAUUAAUAUUUCAUUGCAUACCUAUGCUACUUGCACCCACACUUUUGGAAAUUAAAAUCUAAAACCUAAAGUCUCUAAAACAAUAGAGUGUGUGUGUGUGUGUGUGUGUGUGUGUGUGUGUGUGUGUUGUUUAGGAUAUGCAAAUGUGUCUUCACAUUCUGCACGAAUUACAAUUUGAAAAUCUUUACAAUUGUUUAUAUGUUUGGAGGUCCUAUCAAUGUCUACACAAAUUUUAUUAAGGUAUUCUAGUAUCUUAGCACUCCUAUUCUCAAAACCAUCAUGAACAUGAAAUAUUAAAUAUAAGCUUAUACUGUGUUGCCCUUUCACUUGCUCCCUGUUCUGUGCAUUCAGUUAGUACAGGUAAAACUUCCUGCUGCCCCACUUUCAAAUUUCUUCAGGCUUUCCCAGAAACAAUUAUGCAAAAUUCUGGCUUGCGAUUUGUUUUCUUAAAAUUUUUCAAGGUAAAUAUUGUAAUCCUUCCCCGUUCUUAGGGAAGUGAAAUUUGUUUGGAAGCUUUCUACUUAAUAACCUGUUCAAAGGCUCCUAAUGACCAAUCCAAUUUUCUGUCAUCCAAGAUGAGCAAAUACCAGGCCCCGUUCUGGCUCCUCCAAUAACUUUUCUUCUCUUAGCAGUGUGAUUUUCUCAUACAGUGCUUAUUUCAACUAGAAUUUCAAUACUUCCAUGACUGUCAUAUAGUUCUUUUAUUAGUUUUCUAGGACUGCUGUAACAAAGGACCACAAAGGGGUGCUUAGGUGGCUCAGUCAGCUGAGUGUCCGACUUCGGCUCAGGUCAUGAUCUCACCGCUCAUGGGUUGGAGCCCUGCAUCUGGCUCUGUGCUGACAGCUCAGAGACUGGAGCCUGCUUCGGAUUCUGUGUCUCCCUCUCUCUCUGCCCCUCCCCCACUCAUGCUCUCUGUCUCUGUCUCUCUCUCUCUCUCUCACUCAAAAAUAAAUAAACAUUAGGGGCGCCUGGGUGGCGCA